Molecule: non-coding RNA, 29 nt
Filed under: Mus musculus (house mouse)
Lineage: Eukaryota; Metazoa; Chordata; Mammalia; Rodentia; Muridae
Source: RNAcentral
UGACUAGAGCAGCACAAAACUUUGUGGUC